GUAGGUGGCAAGCGUUGUCCGGAAUUAUUGGGCGUAAAGCGCGCGCAGGUGGUUCUUUAAGUCUGAUGUGAAAGCCCCCGGCUCAACCGGGGAGGGUCAUUGGAAACUGGGGAACUUGAGUGCAGGAGAGGAAAGUGGAAUUCCACGUGUAGCGGUGAAAUGCGUAGAUAUGUGGAGGAACACCAGUGGCGAAGGCGACUUUCUGGCCUGUAAUUGACACUGAGGCGCGAAAGCGUGGGGAGCAAACAGGGAUUAGAUACCCUGGUAGUCCACGCCGUAAACGAUGAGUGCUAAGUGUUGGGGGGGUUUCCCGCCCCUCAGUGCUGCAGCUAACGCAUUAAGCACUCCGCCUGGGGAGUACGGUCGCAAGACUG
RNAcentral lists this ribosomal RNA (374 nucleotides) under uncultured organism. Its description in RNAcentral is "partial 16S ribosomal RNA". It matches the Rfam family "Bacterial small subunit ribosomal RNA", at positions 527 to 896 of the family's 1533-position model. The record is from RNAcentral.